This 253-nucleotide ribosomal RNA is filed under the name uncultured bacterium. RNAcentral's name for it is "partial 16S ribosomal RNA". It matches the Rfam family "Bacterial small subunit ribosomal RNA", at positions 524 to 776 of the family's 1533-position model. The record is from RNAcentral.
UACGUAGGGGGCAAGCGUUGUCCGGAAUUAUUGGGCGUAAAGAGCUUGUAGGCGGUUUGUCGCGUCUGCUGUGAAAUUUCGGGGCUCAACCCCGAACUUGCAGUGGGUACGGGCAGACUGGAGUGUGGUAGGGGAGACUGGAAUUCCUGGUGUAGCGGUGAAAUGCGCAGAUAUCAGGAGGAACACCGAUGGCGAAGGCAGGUCUCUGGGCCACUACUGACGCUGAGAAGCGAAAGCAUGGGGAGCGAACAGG